UACGUAGGUGGCAAGCGUUGUCCGGAUUUACUGGGCGUAAAGAGCGCGCAGGCGGUCGUUCAAGUCGAGUGUGAAAGCCCCCGGCUCAACUGGGGAGGGUCACUCGAUACUGAUCGACUUGAAGGCAGGAGAGGGAAGCGGAAUUCCCGGUGUAGUGGUGAAAUGCGUAGAUAUCCGGAGGAACCCCAGAGGCGAAGGCGGCGCUCUGGCUCGCAACUGACGCUCAGACACGACAGCAUGGGGAGCGAACGGG
This 253-nucleotide ribosomal RNA is filed under the name uncultured bacterium. RNAcentral describes it as "partial 16S ribosomal RNA". It matches the Rfam family "Bacterial small subunit ribosomal RNA", at positions 524 to 776 of the family's 1533-position model. The record is from RNAcentral.